RNAcentral lists this unclassified non-coding RNA (354 nucleotides) under soil metagenome. RNAcentral's name for it is "partial contains 5.8S ribosomal RNA, internal transcribed spacer 2, and large subunit ribosomal RNA". The stretch from base 2 to 121 matches the Rfam family "5.8S ribosomal RNA", at positions 35 to 154 of the family's 154-position model. The record is from RNAcentral.
GGAUGAAGAACGCAGCGAAAUGCGAUAAGUAAUGUGAAUUGCAGAAUUCAGUGAAUCAUCGAAUCUUUGAACGCACAUUGCGCCCAUUAGUAUUCUAAUGGGCAUGCCUGUUCGAGCGUCAUUUCAACCCUCAAGCUCUAGUUGCUUGGUGUUGGGAGCUUAUCCUGCCGGAAGGCGGGACAACUCCUUAAAAUUAUUGGCGGAGUCGCGGUGACCCCAAGCGCAGUAAUUCAUUUUCUCGCUUUAGGUGUUAACGCUGGCCUCUAGCCAUUAAACCACUCUAUUUUCUCAAAUGGUUGACCUCGGAUCAGGUAGGACUACCCGCUGAACUUAAGCAUAUCAAUAAGCGGAGGA